UGAGGGAGCGGGGAUGGGGAGGACAGAAGCAAAAGAAAGAAUGAAUUCUUUGCACUCUUUCCUUCCUGUUUCUUCUUCCU
This 80-nucleotide microRNA precursor is filed under the name Dinoponera quadriceps. RNAcentral describes it as "microRNA dqu-mir-11656 precursor". Lineage: Eukaryota; Metazoa; Arthropoda; Insecta; Hymenoptera; Formicidae. The record is from miRBase by way of RNAcentral.